CUUCCAGUAGCACCUUAGAGACCAACUAAAUUACCGUAGUUAUUGGUAUUGGUAAGUUAGUUAUACCAAUAACUAACUUAGUUGGUCUCUAAGGUGCUACUGGAAG
Non-coding RNA from Podarcis lilfordi (Lilford's wall lizard), 106 nucleotides. The record is from the annotation of a GenBank genome assembly. Lineage: Eukaryota; Metazoa; Chordata; Lepidosauria; Squamata; Lacertidae.